UAUACUUCAAACUCUUAUUUAAUGACACAUAAAGACUAAAAGUUUCUGAUUUGCAGUGAUUUGUUUUUUAGGUGAGGAGAGGAUCUACRAAAAUCAUCAUUGCCUUCUUACCUGAAUUUACUCUCAGAUUGUCACUUUUGUCUGUCUUCAGCUGGGUGGAAGUGAGAAAACAUAGGAGCACCUCUGGGCUCACAUUCUUGUGGUUUACAACAUUCGAGAAACUAUUUCUGCAACUAUCAUUUUCACACAAGAUUCAGCAGAUCUCUGGAAAUUGAGAGACUGCUAGAGCCCAACCUGGAGGUUAAGCAUUGGGUGCAUUUGUUGUCUUUKACUACCAG
RNAcentral lists this long non-coding RNA (338 nucleotides) under Dromaius novaehollandiae (emu). RNAcentral's name for it is "lncRNA (ENSDNVG00000011764.1)". The record is from RNAcentral. Lineage: Eukaryota; Metazoa; Chordata; Aves; Casuariiformes; Dromaiidae.